RNAcentral lists this ribosomal RNA (447 nucleotides) under uncultured bacterium. RNAcentral's name for it is "bacterial SSU rRNA". It matches the Rfam family "Bacterial small subunit ribosomal RNA", at positions 28 to 434 of the family's 1533-position model. The record is from RNAcentral.
GACGAACGCUGGCGGCGUGCCUAAUACAUGCAAGUCGAACGCACUCUCGUUUAGAUUGAAGGAGCUUGCUCCUGAUUGAUAAACAUUUGAGUGAGUGGCGGACGGGUGAGUAACACGUGGGUAACCUGCCCUAAAGUGGGGGAUAACAUUUGGAAACAGAUGCUAAUACCGCAUAAAACCUAACACCGCAUGGUGUAGGGUUGAAAGAUGGUUUCGGCUAUCACUUUAGGAUGGACCCGCGGUGCAUUAGUUAGUUGGUGAGGUAAAGGCUCACCAAGACCGUGAUGCAUAGCCGACCUGAGAGGGUAAUCGGCCACACUGGGACUGAGACACGGCCCAGACUCCUACGGGAGGCAGCAGUAGGGAAUCUUCCACAAUAGGACGAAAGUACUGAUGGAGCAACGACCGCCGUGAGUGAAGAAAGGUUUUCGGUAGUCGUAAAACUAC